Molecule: long non-coding RNA, 284 nt
Filed under: Brassica napus (rape)
Lineage: Eukaryota; Viridiplantae; Streptophyta; Magnoliopsida; Brassicales; Brassicaceae
Description: long non-coding RNA (BNAP_LNC023029)
Source: RNAcentral
GAUCCUUCUUUUGUUGGACCGGUGCGUCACAUCCGGCAACGAUCGAAGUCUGGUAGUAUCUUUGGGCUAUUCCGCAACCCUUAGUGUCACCCCUCGAUCCAUCAGUUCUCAAUCCUCUCGGAUCUGAGUUCAUAUCAACCUUACCGAAAGAGUGAUCCUUAUUUUGGGCGUAUCAAGUGGUAUCAGAGCCACUCUUCCGGUAACUCUAUUAUCAUUCCAUCUUCUCAUCUCUCCAUCUUCUUCAAACACUUCUUCUUCUACCUUUCUUGAAUCCGGGACCCUCA